RNAcentral lists this ribosomal RNA (1343 nucleotides) under uncultured bacterium. Its description in RNAcentral is "16S ribosomal RNA". It matches the Rfam family "Bacterial small subunit ribosomal RNA", at positions 28 to 1378 of the family's 1533-position model. The record is from RNAcentral.
GACGAACGCUGGCGGCGUGCUUAACACAUGCAAGUCGAACGGAAAGGCCCUGCUUUUGUGGGGUGCUCGAGUGGCGUACGGGUGAGUAACACGUGAGUAACCUGCCCUUGACUUUGGGAUAACCUCAGGAAACUGGGGCUAAUACCGGAUAGGAGCUCCUGCUGCAUGGUGGGGGUUGGAAAGUUUCGGCGGUUGGGGAUGGACUCGCGGCUUAUCAGCUUGUUGGUGGGGUAGUGGCUUACCAAGGCUUUGACGGGUAGCCGGCCUGAGAGGGUGACCGGCCACAUUGGGACUGAGACACGGCCCAGACUCCUACGGGAGGCAGCAGUGGGGAAUAUUGCACAAUGGGCGGAAGCCUGAUGCAGCAACGCCGCGUGCGGGAUGACGGCCUUCGGGUUGUAAACCGCUUUCGCCUGUGACGAAGCGUGAGUGACGGUAAUGGGUAAAGAAGCACCGGCUAACUACGUGCCAGCAGCCGCGGUGAUACGUAGGGUGCGAGCGUUGUCCGGAUUUAUUGGGCGUAAAGGGCUCGUAGGUGGUUGAUCGCGUCGGAAGUGUAAUCUUGGGGCUUAACCCUGAGCGUGCUUUCGAUACGGGUUGACUUGAGGAAGGUAGGGGAGAAUGGAAUUCCUGGUGGAGCGGUGGAAUGCGCAGAUAUCAGGAGGAACACCAGUGGCGAAGGCGGUUCUCUGGGCCUUUCCUGACGCUGAGGAGCGAAAGCGUGGGGAGCGAACAGGCUUAGAUACCCUGGUAGUCCACGCUGUAAACGGUGGGUACUAGGUGUGGGGUCCAUUCCACGGGUUCCGUGCCGUAGCUAACGCUUUAAGUACCCCGCCUGGGGAGUACGGCCGCAAGGCUAAAACUCAAAGGAAUUGACGGGGCCCCGCACAAGCGGCGGAGCAUGCGGAUUAAUUCGAUGCAACGCGUAGAACCUUACCUGGGUUUGACAUGGAUCGGGAGUGCUCAGAGAUGGGUGUGCCUCUUUUGGGGUCGGUUCACAGGUGGUGCAUGGCUGUCGUCAGCUCGUGUCGUGAGAUGUUGGGUUAAGUCCCGCAACGAGCGCAACCCUUGUUCACUGUUGCCAGCACGUUAUGGUGGGGACUCAGUGGAGACCGCCGGGGUCAACUCGGAGGAAGGUGGGGAUGACGUCAAGUCAUCAUGCCCCUUAUGUCCAGGGCUUCACGCAUGCUACAAUGGCUGGUACAGAGAGUGGCGAGCCUGUGAGGGUGAGCGAAUCUCGGAAAGCCGGUCUCAGUUCGGAUUGGGGUCUGCAACUCGACCUCAUGAAGUCGGAGUCGCUAGUAAUCGCAGAUCAGCAACGCUGCGGUGAAUACGUUCCCGGG